CGCGAAGAACCUUACCUACCCUUGACAUCCAGAGGAUUUUCCAGAGAUGGAUUAGUGCCUUCGGGAACUCUGAGACAGGUGCUGCAUGGCUGUCGUCAGCUCGUGUUGUGAAAUGUUGGGUUAAGUCCCGUAACGAGCGCAACCCCCUAUCCUUAUUUGCCAGCGAUUCGGUCGGGAACUCUAAGGAGACUGCCGGUGACAAACCGGAGGAAGGUGGGGAUGACGUCAAGUCAUCAUGGCCCUUACGGGUAGGGCUACACACGUGCUACAAUGGGGAGUACAGAGGGACGCAAAGCGGCGACGUGAAGCCAAUCCCAAAAAAGCUCUCCUCAGUCCGGAUUGGAGUCUGCAACUCGACUCCAUGAAGUCGGAGUCGCUAGUAAUCGCGAAUCAGAAUGUCGCGGUGAAUACGUUCCCGGGCCUUGUACACACCGCCCGUCACACCAUGGGAGUGGAUUGCACCAGAAGUGGCUAGUUUAACCUUCGGGGGAACGGUUACCACGGUGUGGUUCAUGACUGGGGUGAAGUCGUAACAAGGUAAGCGUAGCGAG
RNAcentral lists this ribosomal RNA (551 nucleotides) under uncultured bacterium. RNAcentral describes it as "bacterial SSU rRNA". It matches the Rfam family "Bacterial small subunit ribosomal RNA", at positions 960 to 1509 of the family's 1533-position model. The record is from RNAcentral.